CAGGUUUGCUGCUGAUAAACAGCCACUUUCUGUGGAUUAACCCGUUCUUACAGGCUUAGGGUUUUGUUCCAAGUACUUUACAUGGAUCAGCUCUUCUGUGCCCACAACCAUCCCAUCAGCCACAAAUGAAAAUGACCCUCUUGAC
Long non-coding RNA from Lontra canadensis (Northern American river otter), 145 nucleotides. RefSeq lists it as uncharacterized. Lineage: Eukaryota; Metazoa; Chordata; Mammalia; Carnivora; Mustelidae. The transcript is spliced from 3 exons. The record is from RefSeq and is a predicted model, not a curated record.